This 440-nucleotide ribosomal RNA is filed under the name uncultured bacterium. Its description in RNAcentral is "partial 16S ribosomal RNA". It matches the Rfam family "Bacterial small subunit ribosomal RNA", at positions 338 to 795 of the family's 1533-position model. The record is from RNAcentral.
CCUACGGGAGGCUGCAGUGGGGAAUAUUGCACAAUGGGGGCAACCCUGAUGCAGCGACGCCGCGUGAGUGAAGAAGGCUUUCGGUAUGUAAAGCUCUUUUAGCAGGGACGAAAAUGCCGGUACCUGCUUCAGAAUCCCCGGCUAACUACGUGCCAGCAGCCGCGGUAAUACGUAGGGGGCAAGCGUUAUCCGGAUUUACUGGGUGUAAAGGGAGCGUGGACGGUAGAAUAAGUCAGAAGUGAAAAGCCGGGGCUUAACCCCGGAACUGCUUGGGAAACUUUGCAGCUAGAGAGCAGGAGAGGUAGGUGGAAUGUCUAGUGUAGCGGUGAAAUGCGUAGAUAUUAGGAGGAACACCAGUGGCGAAGGCGGCUUACUGGACUGCAACUGACGUUGAGGCGCGAAAGCGUGGGGAGCAAACAGGAUUAGAUACCCGAGUAGUC